GCCUGGGUGGCUCAGUUGGUUAAGCAUCUGACUUCGGCUCAGGUCAUGAUCUCACAGUUCGUGGGUUUGAGCCCCGCGUCGGGCC
RNAcentral lists this transfer RNA (85 nucleotides) under Felis catus (domestic cat). It matches the Rfam family "tRNA". From Rfam's summary of the family: Transfer RNA (tRNA) molecules are approximately 80 nucleotides in length. Their secondary structure includes four short double-helical elements and three loops (D, anti-codon, and T loops). Lineage: Eukaryota; Metazoa; Chordata; Mammalia; Carnivora; Felidae. The record is from Rfam by way of RNAcentral.